This 2110-nucleotide ribosomal RNA is filed under the name Salmonella enterica subsp. enterica serovar Tudu. RNAcentral's name for it is "partial 23S ribosomal RNA". It matches the Rfam family "Bacterial large subunit ribosomal RNA", at positions 711 to 2802 of the family's 2925-position model. Lineage: Bacteria; Pseudomonadati; Pseudomonadota; Gammaproteobacteria; Enterobacterales; Enterobacteriaceae. The record is from RNAcentral.
AGACCCGAAACCCGGUGAUCUAGCCAUGGGCAGGUUGAAGGUUGGGUAACACUAACUGGAGGACCGAACCGACUAAUGUUGAAAAAUUAGCGGAUGACCUGUGGCUGGGGGUGAAAGGCCAAUCAAACCGGGAGAUAGCUGGUUCUCCCCGAAAGCUAUUUAGGUAGCGCCUCGUGAAUUCAUCUCCGGGGGUAGAGCACUGUUUCGGCUAGGGGGCCAUCCCGGCUUACCAACCCGAUGCAAACUGCGAAUACCGGAGAAUGUUAUCACGGGAGACACACGGCGGGUGCUAACGUCCGUCGUGAAGAGGGAAACAACCCAGACCGCCAGCUAAGGUCCCAAAGUCAUGGUUAAGUGGGAAACGAUGUGGGAAGGCCCAGACAGCCAGGAUGUUGGCUUAGAAGCAGCCAUCAUUUAAAGAAAGCGUAAUAGCUCACUGGUCGAGUCGGCCUGCGCGGAAGAUGUAACGGGGCUAAACCAUGCACCGAAGCUGCGGCAGCGACACUGUGUGUUGUUGGGUAGGGGAGCGUUCUGUAAGCCUGUGAAGGUGUGUCGUGAGGCAUGCUGGAGGUAUCAGAAGUGCGAAUGCUGACAUAAGUAACGAUAAAGCGGGUGAAAAGCCCGCUCGCCGGAAGACCAAGGGUUCCUGUCCAACGUUAAUCGGGGCAGGGUGAGUCGACCCCUAAGGCGAGGCCGAAAGGCGUAGUCGAUGGGAAACGGGUUAAUAUUCCCGUACUUGGUGUUACUGCGAAGGGGGGACGGAGAAGGCUAUGUUGGCCGGGCGACGGUUGUCCCGGUUUAAGCGUGUAGGUGUGUGUUCCAGGUAAAUCCGGUUCACUUUAACACUGAGGCGUGAUGACGAGGCACUACGGUGCUGAAGCAACAAAUGCCCUGCUUCCAGGAAAAGCCUCUAAGCAUCAGGUAACAUCAAAUCGUACCCCAAACCGACACAGGUGGUCAGGUAGAGAAUACCAAGGCGCUUGAGAGAACUCGGGUGAAGGAACUAGGCAAAAUGGUGCCGUAACUUCGGGAGAAGGCACGCUGACACGUAGGUGAAGUGAUUUACUCAUGGAGCUGAAGUCAGUCGAAGAUACCAGCUGGCUGCAACUGUUUAUUAAAAACACAGCACUGUGCAAACACGAAAGUGGACGUAUACGGUGUGACGCCUGCCCGGUGCCGGAAGGUUAAUUGAUGGGGUCAGCGCAAGCGAAGCUCCUGAUCGAAGCCCCGGUAAACGGCGGCCGUAACUAUAACGGUCCUAAGGUAGCGAAAUUCCUUGUCGGGUAAGUUCCGACCUGCACGAAUGGCGUAAUGAUGGCCAGGCUGUCUCCACCCGAGACUCAGUGAAAUUGAACUCGCUGUGAAGAUGCAGUGUACCCGCGGCAAGACGGAAAGACCCCGUGAACCUUUACUAUAGCUUGACACUGAACAUUGAGCCUUGAUGUGUAGGAUAGGUGGGAGGCUUUGAAGUGUGGACGCCAGUCUGCAUGGAGCCGACCUUGAAAUACCACCCUUUAAUGUUUGAUGUUCUAACGUGGACCCGUGAUCCGGGUUGCGGACAGUGUCUGGUGGGUAGUUUGACUGGGGCGGUCUCCUCCUAAAGAGUAACGGAGGAGCACGAAGGUUGGCUAAUCCUGGUCGGACAUCAGGAGGUUAGUGCAAUGGCAUAAGCCAGCUUGACUGCGAGCGUGACGGCGCGAGCAGGUGCGAAAGCAGGUCAUAGUGAUCCGGUGGUUCUGAAUGGAAGGGCCAUCGCUCAACGGAUAAAAGGUACUCCGGGGAUAACAGGCUGAUACCGCCCAAGAGUUCAUAUCGACGGCGGUGUUUGGCACCUCGAUGUCGGCUCAUCACAUCCUGGGGCUGAAGUAGGUCCCAAGGGUAUGGCUGUUCGCCAUUUAAAGUGGUACGCGAGCUGGGUUUAGAACGUCGUGAGACAGUUCGGUCCCUAUCUGCCGUGGGCGCUGGAGAACUGAGGGGGGCUGCUCCUAGUACGAGAGGACCGGAGUGGACGCAUCACUGGUGUUCGGGUUGUCAUGCCAAUGGCACUGCCCGGUAGCUAAAUGCGGAAGAGAUAAGUGCUGAAAGCAUCUAAGCACGAAACUUGCCCCGA